CCUACGGGAGGCAGCAGUCGAGAAUCAUUCACAAUGGGGGAAACCCUGAUGGUGCGACGCCGCGUGGGGGAAUGAAGAUCUUCGGAUUGUAAACCCCUGUCAUGUGGGAGCAAAUUAAAAAGAUAGUACCACAAGAGGAAGAGACUGCUAACUCUGUGCCAGCAGCCGCGGUAAUACAGAGGUCUCAAGCGUUGUUCGGAAUCACUGGGCGUAAAGCGUGCGUAGGCUGUUUCGUAAGUCGUGUGUGAAAGGCGCGGGCUCAACCCGCGGACGGCACAUGAUACUGCGAGACUAGAGUAAUGGAGGGGGAACCGGAAUUCUCGGUGUAGCAGUGAAAUGCGUAGAUAUCGAGAGGAACACUCGUGGCGAAGGCGGGUUGCUGGACAGUAACUGACGCUGAGGCACGAAGGCCAGGGGAGCGAAAGGGAUUAGAUACCCCUGUAGUC
This 446-nucleotide ribosomal RNA is filed under the name uncultured bacterium. RNAcentral's name for it is "partial 16S ribosomal RNA". It matches the Rfam family "Bacterial small subunit ribosomal RNA", at positions 338 to 795 of the family's 1533-position model. The record is from RNAcentral.